GAUUAACGCUGGCGGCGUGCAUAACACAUGCAAGUCGAACGAUGAAACUUUCUUGACCUCUUCGGGUAGAAUUAAAGCGGUUUAGAAGCGAUCGGGAACGUAACACUUGAGUACCCUGCAUUACACAAGGGGCUAGCCUAUGGAAACGUAGAAUACUACCCUAUAAAACCAUAAAAGCACAUGUAAUUAUGGUCAAAGUGAUAGGGGUGUAUGAUGGACUUGCGUCUGAUGAGCUAGUUGGUGAGAUAACAGCCCACCAAGGCAACGAUCAGUAGCCGGCAUUAGAGAGUGGACAGCGCCAAGGGGACUGAGACACGGACCAGACGCCUACGGGAGGCAGCAGUGGGGAAUUUUGCACAGUGGGGGAGACCCGGAUACGGCGGCGCCGCGGUAUUAAGAAGGCCUUCGGGUUGUAAAAAUCUUCUGUAUAGGAGGAAAAUGACAGUACUAGUCGAAUAAGGGCCGGCUAAUUACGUG
This 477-nucleotide ribosomal RNA is filed under the name uncultured bacterium. RNAcentral describes it as "partial 16S ribosomal RNA". It matches the Rfam family "Bacterial small subunit ribosomal RNA", at positions 28 to 507 of the family's 1533-position model. The record is from RNAcentral.